RNAcentral lists this transfer RNA (77 nucleotides) under Candidatus Aquicultor primus. RNAcentral describes it as "Actinobacteria bacterium GWC2_53_9 tRNA-Ile". It matches the Rfam family "tRNA". From Rfam's summary of the family: Transfer RNA (tRNA) molecules are approximately 80 nucleotides in length. Their secondary structure includes four short double-helical elements and three loops (D, anti-codon, and T loops). Further hydrogen bonds mediate the characteristic L-shaped molecular structure. tRNAs have two regions of fundamental functional importance: the anti-codon, which is responsible for specific mRNA codon recognition, and the 3' end, to which the tRNAs corresponding amino acid is attached (by aminoacyl-tRNA synthetases). tRNAs cope with the degeneracy of the genetic code in two manners: having more than one tRNA (with a specific anti-codon) for a particular amino acid; and 'wobble' base-pairing, i.e. permitting non-standard base-pairing at the 3rd anti-codon position. Lineage: Bacteria; Bacillati; Actinomycetota; Candidatus Aquicultoria; Candidatus Aquicultorales; Candidatus Aquicultoraceae. The record is from RNAcentral.
GGGCCUAUAGCUCAGUUGGUUAGAGCGCACCCCUGAUAAGGGUGAGGUGGCUGGUUCGACUCCAGCUAGGCCCACGA